Molecule: ribosomal RNA, 743 nt
Filed under: uncultured bacterium
Lineage: Bacteria
Description: bacterial SSU rRNA
Rfam family: Bacterial small subunit ribosomal RNA
Source: RNAcentral
AGCGGCGGAUGGGUGAGUAACACGUGGGGAACCUGCCCCUAAGUCUGGGAUACCAUUUGGAAACAGGUGCUAAUACCGGAUAAUAAAGCAGAUCGCAUGAUCAGCUUUUGAAAGGCGGCGUAAGCUGUCGCUAAGGGAUGGCCCCGCGGUGCAUUAGCUAGUUGGUAAGGUAACGGCUUACCAAGGCGACGAUGCAUAGCCGAGUUGAGAGACUGAUCGGCCACAUUGGGACUGAGACACGGCCCAAACUCCUACGGGAGGCAGCAGUAGGGAAUCUUCCACAAUGGACGCGAGUCUGAUGGAGCAACGCCGCGUGAGUGAAGAAGGUUUUCGGAUCGUAAAACUCUGUUGCUGGUGAAGAAGGAUAGAGGUAGUAACUGGCCUUUAUUUGACGGUAAUCAACCAGAAAGUCACGGCUAACUACGUGCCAGCAGCCGCGGUAAUACGUAGGUGGCAAGCGUUGUCCGGAUUUAUUGGGCGUAAAGCGAGCGCAGGCGGAAAAAUAAGUCUAAUGUGAAAGCCCUCGGCUUAACCGAGGAACUGCAUCGGAAACUGUUUUUCUUGAGUGCAGAAGAGGAGAGUGGAACUCCAUGUGUAGCGGUGGAAUGCGUAGAUAUAUGGAAGAACACCAGUGGCGAAGGCGGCUCUCUGGUCUGCAACUGACGCUGAGGCUCGAAAGCAUGGGUAGCGAACAGGAUUAGAUACCCUGGUAGUCCAUGCCGUAAACGAUGAGUGCUAAGUGU